UACGGAGGGUGCAAGCGUUAUCCGGAUUCACUGGGUUUAAAGGGUGCGUAGGUGGAUUGGUAAGUCAGUGGUGAAAUCUCCGGGCUUAACCCGGAAACUGCCAUUGAUACUAUCAGUCUUGAAUACCGUGGAGGUCAGUAGAAUAUGUCAUGUAGCGGUGAAAUGCUUAGAUAUGACAUAGAAUACCAAUUGCGAAGGCAGCUGGCUACACGAAUAUUGACACUCAGGCACGAAAGCGUGGGGAUCAAACAGG
RNAcentral lists this ribosomal RNA (253 nucleotides) under uncultured bacterium. Its description in RNAcentral is "partial 16S ribosomal RNA". It matches the Rfam family "Bacterial small subunit ribosomal RNA", at positions 524 to 776 of the family's 1533-position model. RNAcentral also lists the same sequence under 1 other name. The record is from RNAcentral.